GAGUUUGAUCAUGGAUCAGAUUGAACGCUGGCGGCAUGCCUUACACAUGCAAGUCGAACGGCAGCACGGGAGCUUGCUCCUGGUGGCGAGUGGCGAACGGGUGAGUAAUGCAUCGGAACGUAUCCUGGAGUGGGGGAUAACGUAGCGAAAGUUACGCUAAUACCGCAUAUUCUGUGAGCAGGAAAGCAGGGGACCUUCGGGCCUUGCGCUAUCAGAUGAGCCUAGGUCGGAUUAGCUAGUUGGUGGGGUAAUGGCUCACCAAGGCGACGAUCCGUAACUGGUCUGAGAGGAUGAUCAGUCACACUGGAACUGAGACACGGUCCAGACUCCUACGGGAGGCAGCAGUGGGGAAUAUUGGACAAUGGGCGAAAGCCUGAUCCAGCCAUGCCGCGUGUGUGAAGAAGGUCUUCGGAUUGUAAAGCACUUUAAGUUGGGAGGAAGGGCAGUAAGUUAAUACCUUGCUGUUUUGACGUUACCGACAG
This 482-nucleotide ribosomal RNA is filed under the name bacterium enrichment culture clone ALO1_GLFRUDD03FVHYH. RNAcentral describes it as "bacterial SSU rRNA". It matches the Rfam family "Bacterial small subunit ribosomal RNA", at positions 9 to 484 of the family's 1533-position model. The record is from RNAcentral.